GCAUACUGCAUCAAACUUCUUGCUCUCACACACCACAACAAAAUGGUGUAGUUGAGAGGAAGCAUAGAUAUCUACUAGAAACCUCAAGGGCUCUACUUCUCCAUUCACAGCUAUUGUAGUUGAGAGAAAGCAUAGAUACCUGCUAGAUACCUCAAGGGCUCUACUAUUCCAUUCACAGCUACCUAUUAGAUUCUGGGGUGAUUCUUACUGCAACCUACCUCAUUAACAUUUUUCCUUCCAAACUUCUUCACAAUAAAUCCUCCUUUGAGUUACUGUUUGGACAGAUUCCAUCCUAUAACCAUCUUAAAACUUUUGGUUGCCUCUGUUUUGCCUCAGUCCCUAAACAGAAUAGGGACAAAUUCCAGCCCAGAGCUGAUCCCUGUAUUUUUCUGGG
This 394-nucleotide long non-coding RNA is filed under the name Nicotiana benthamiana. Its description in RNAcentral is "long non-coding RNA (NBEN_LNC021746)". Lineage: Eukaryota; Viridiplantae; Streptophyta; Magnoliopsida; Solanales; Solanaceae. The record is from RNAcentral.